This 428-nucleotide ribosomal RNA is filed under the name Bacteroidota bacterium. RNAcentral's name for it is "Bacteroidetes bacterium partial 16S ribosomal RNA". It matches the Rfam family "Bacterial small subunit ribosomal RNA", at positions 355 to 776 of the family's 1533-position model. The record is from RNAcentral. Lineage: Bacteria; Pseudomonadati; Bacteroidota.
UAGGGAAUCUUCCGCAAUGGGCGAAAGCUUGCCGGAGCAACGCCGCGUGAGUGAUGAAGGUCUUCGGAUCGUAAAACUCUGUUAUUAGGGAAGAACAAAUGUGUAAGUAACUAUGCACGUCUUGACGGUACCUAAUCAGAAAGCCACGGCUAACUACGUGCCAGCAGCCGCGGUAAUACGUAUGGUGCGAGCGUUGUCCGGAAUUAUUGGGCGUAAAGGGUACGUAGGCGGUUUGCCAAGUCAGAUGUUAAAACUUGAGGCUUAACCUCAUGUUGCAUUUGAAACUGUCAAACUUGAGUAGUGGAGAGGAAAGUGGAAUUCCUAGUGUAGCGGUGAAAUGCGUAGAUAUUAGGAGGAAUACCAGUAGCGAAGGCGACUUUCUGGACACAAACUGACGCUGAGGUACGAAAGCGUGGGGAGCAAACAGG